GUGUGUGUGUAUAUAUAUGUAUAUAUCGUGUUCUAGAUUAGAAAUUAAGAGAAGAGAGAGAGAAACGAUUGGUUAGUAAAAUAUGUAGCUGCAAGUUUACAUAGUGGAAUUGCUGACCAAAGUUUUUCUCUAAUGUACAUUUCGGAAAUUCCUAAUACUUAAAACUUGUUUUUCAGCCCGUUUCUGUCAUUAGAAAAUACAAAUAGCAUUUUUUCAAUCAGUUAAUAGUAUGAACAGUCAGUUAACAAUACAAAUAUGGUAGCAUUUUUCAGCCUGUUACUUACUGAAUGCGAGUCAUUGGCAUUUUUUCAGUUGGUUAACAAACAGUUUUUCAGUUAGUUAACAAAUAGCAACACUUCAGAAGCUUUUUUGAGAUAAGCUACAGAGAUAAGCAACAGUUUUUCAAUCGGUUAACAAACAGCAGCACAACAGUUUUCCAGUCACCUGAUCUCUGUCCAAAUUUCUUAUUGCUGUUGUAGGUCACCAUUGUAUUCGACCUGGGAACCUACAUACAGAUUUUCAUCUAUGAUAUUUCAGCAUCUUCUAUGCUUCCAAUCUGUUAAUUUAAUUUUACUUAUAAACGGCACAACCUUCACUUCUCUUUUUCCAUGUGUAGAAUUGAUGAUUGAUGUAGUUUCACUGAAUCAAAAUACUGAUGCCUUUUCCCUUCUCCUUGACAACUUUGCGAGAGCUAGGAAAGUAAUGGUGGACUCUCAUGAAGAAGAGAGACAGAUAAUGUUUGUGGUGAAUUCCUUCACCUACCCUGCUUAUGGGAAAUUCUGCAAUGAUGUCCAGCGGCACACCACUCUCAAGUCUGAGAUGAAUUCCUUCACCAGAGGUUCUCCUUCGUGAGUUACAUCAGCGCUCAGAAGGCAUACAUCGAAGCCCUUGACGGCUGGUUGUCCAAGUUCAUCCUAACAGACACCAUUUGUUACUCCCGGGGGAUCUCCUUGAUUGCGCCCGACAGGGCCGGCACACCGCCCCUGGUGGUGAUCACGAGUGGCACACCAUGCUGUCGACGACUGGAUCGAUCCUCCUCACUAGUGACUCCGGCAUAGGACUUGGCGAUGGGGAGAGGUCGUUCAGCGCUGCACAGAGCUGGUGCCAAGAACUAACUGUUGAUGUGGAAUCAGAUUUAUUAAAUAAUUAUCAGUUUGACUUAUUAGCUUGUAUUCAAACUGUACAGCAUUUUUGUUUGAGUAAUGUUUUUUCAUGUUCA
Triticum dicoccoides is the source of this 1219-nucleotide long non-coding RNA. RefSeq lists it as uncharacterized. The record is from RefSeq and is a predicted model, not a curated record. NCBI's taxonomy places the organism in Eukaryota, Viridiplantae, Streptophyta, Magnoliopsida, Poales, Poaceae. The transcript has 2 exons.